UACGGGGGGUGCGAGCGUUGUCCGGAAUCACUGGGCGUAAAGGGUGCGUAGGUGGGCAAGUAAGUCAGUGGUGAAAUCUCCGGGCUUAACCCGGAAACUGCCAUUGAUACUAUUUGUCUUGAAUACUGUGGAGGUCAGCGGAAUAUGUCAUGUAGCGGUGAAAUGCUUAGAUAUGACAUAGAACACCAAUUGCGAAGGCAGCUGGCUACACAAAUAUUGACACUGAGGCACGAAAGCGUGGGGAUCAAACAGG
Molecule: ribosomal RNA, 253 nt
Filed under: uncultured bacterium
Lineage: Bacteria
Description: partial 16S ribosomal RNA
Rfam family: Bacterial small subunit ribosomal RNA
Source: RNAcentral